Molecule: transfer RNA, 73 nt
Filed under: Chlamydia trachomatis
Lineage: Bacteria; Pseudomonadati; Chlamydiota; Chlamydiia; Chlamydiales; Chlamydiaceae
Description: tRNA-Ala
Rfam family: tRNA
About the family: Transfer RNA (tRNA) molecules are approximately 80 nucleotides in length. Their secondary structure includes four short double-helical elements and three loops (D, anti-codon, and T loops).
Source: RNAcentral
CGGGGUAUAGCUCAGUUGGGAGAGCGCUUGAAUGGCAUUCAAGAGGUCAGCGGUUCGAUCCCGCUUAUCUCCA